Long non-coding RNA from Acinonyx jubatus (cheetah), 1392 nucleotides. RefSeq lists it as uncharacterized. NCBI's taxonomy places the organism in Eukaryota, Metazoa, Chordata, Mammalia, Carnivora, Felidae. The transcript is spliced from 3 exons. The record is from RefSeq and is a predicted model, not a curated record.
CUAAAAUGGCACAAAAUCUUCCUAUCCCUAUGUUCAUGUCCUUUGCAGUGUGACAGUUUUUCCUAUCUAGAGGUGAGGUCUAUUUCUUCACCCCUUAAAUUCUGACCUGUCCAUGUGACUUGCUUUGGUCAAUGAGAUAUUAGCAAUUGUGAUGUAAGCAGUGGCAUACAAAAUACUUGUGCAAUGGCACCACCCUCUUUCAUUGCCCACGCUCUUAAAACUAUCAUGUGAAUAAUGUCAAACUAGCCUACAGGUGUGGAUAAGAGACCAGAUGGAAGAGAAUUAAGAUGCCUUGACUCAUAGUCUUGCCAGUCACUGGACACAGUGAGGUCACCCUAUAUCAUUCAAAUACCAGCCAUUUACCAGCUGACCAUGAAUACGUGAGACAGCACAGCCCAGCACCCAGGAUGGGUCAGGUCAGAAGCACAGAACCAAUCAACAGAAUACUGAAGUAAAUGAAAGGGAACCUGAGAAUUCAAAUUCUGGUUUCUACAUCUGAGAGAGAGGACCAAUGGAAAUUUCCCCAAUUAUGGAAAUGCUAUUCAAGAGGUGAUCAUUAAUAUGACAAAUGGCAGCCUCUCACAGCUGGAAGUUUGUCUCCUUUCCUGUUCUCUUGAGUAAAUCUAAUGCAUGAUAUUAGUAUAAGCAAGGAAUAUAGGGAAUACCAGCAAACAGCUAUUAAUAAGUGUGAAAUAGAGUUCUAUUCUCUGAAUUUAGACUCUAAUUUAGACUCAGUCAUAAGACUGAGCAUUGAUGCUCUUUGGUUUUGAAAAUUAUCCCACCUUUAGAAAGGAUUCCUUCUUUGGCCUCAGGCCAGAAUUAAUGGUGUGAGGAGAGCACAGCAUUAAGAAAGAGCCCAGCUCCACAAUGCUGGUGUUGGUCUCUACUUUUGCCAGCAGUGGGCCUACCACACCUGUUAUUACAAGAAGUGCUAAGGCAGCAGAGCAAGCAGCAACAGAGACAACAUCAGCAGGAAAACCCCAACUGCCAGGAAGAGCAUAUAAUUAUCUCUGCCCUCUAGAGCACGAUUUCUUAACCAAGGAUUGUUGAAAAAUACACACGCUGAGUCCCACUCUGUCCAAGGUACUGAUUUGGUAGGUCUGAGCUAGUGUUUAGGCACCUAUAAUUUAUAACCAUACAAACAAAUAAAUGUUUCACAUGAAUCUGAGAUAUGAUCUUUGUUUAAAAAUACUGCUGUUAUGGGAGAAAAGAUACCUUUUUUGUGGAAAGAAGCAUGAGAGGGCUGAUAUUCUAUAUUUGGUUAAUAUCUACAGUGAAAGACAAAAUUGGGAGUAAUUAGUGUGCAUGCCUUCAGUUGUAAUCUGAGAAGAAACCUUAUGUAGAAUGGGAGGAUGAGUGGGGCAUAAAUGGUCAGAAAGAAUUAAAGCUCUA